Melozone crissalis (California towhee) is the source of this 291-nucleotide non-coding RNA. Lineage: Eukaryota; Metazoa; Chordata; Aves; Passeriformes; Passerellidae. The record is from the annotation of a RefSeq genome assembly.
CUCCAGGCGGCUGUGACCCUGCUGGAGUGCGGGGGGGACCUCCUGCCCCUCAGGCGGUCCCUGCGCCUCCUCUGCCGAGGGUCCGGGUUCAGUUUCGGGAGCUACGACAUGUUCUGGGUGCGCCAGAGACCCGGGCAGGGGCUGGAAUGGCUCGCGUGGAUCAGGAACGAUGGUGGCAACUCCGGCUAUGCGGAUUCAGUCAAGGGCUGGUUCACGAUCUCCAGGGACAACGGGCAGAGCUCGGUGACGCUGACCAUGAACAACCUCAAGGACGAGGAUUCCGGGUCCUAU